This 251-nucleotide unclassified non-coding RNA is filed under the name Hevea brasiliensis (rubber tree). Lineage: Eukaryota; Viridiplantae; Streptophyta; Magnoliopsida; Malpighiales; Euphorbiaceae. The record is from RNAcentral.
CCUAAUCGUCGCUGCAUCAACUGCAAUAGCUUGGGUCCGCAGUAUGUUUGUAUUAAUUUCUGGACUUUCAUUUGUAUGACUUGUAGUGGGAUACAUCGGGAGUUCACUCAUCGUGUAAAGUCUGUGUCAAUGUCCAAGUUCACAUCUCAAGAAGUUGAAGCACUUCAAAAUGGUGGUAAUCAGCGCGCAAGGGAAGUAUACUUGAGGGAUUGGGACCAACAAAGGCAGAGAUUGCCUGAUAACAGCAAUGU